GUCCACGCUGUAAACGAUGAGAACUAGAUGUUGCUCAGUUAUUACUGGGCAGUAUCGCAGCUAACGCAUUAAGUUCUCCGCCUGGGGAGUACGGUCGCAAGAUUAAAACUCAAAGGAAUUGACGGGGGCCCGCACAAGCGGUGGAGCAUGUGGUUCAAUUCGAUGCAACGCGAAGAACCUUACCUACCCUUGAAAUCCCCAAGAAUUUUCUAGAGAUAGAGAAGUGCCUUCGGGAACUUGGAGACAGGUGCUGCAUGGCUGUCGU
This 265-nucleotide ribosomal RNA is filed under the name uncultured bacterium. RNAcentral describes it as "partial 16S ribosomal RNA". It matches the Rfam family "Bacterial small subunit ribosomal RNA", at positions 793 to 1055 of the family's 1533-position model. The record is from RNAcentral.